RNAcentral lists this small RNA (101 nucleotides) under Chryseobacterium profundimaris. RNAcentral's name for it is "Flavo-1 RNA". It matches the Rfam family "Flavo-1 RNA". Lineage: Bacteria; Pseudomonadati; Bacteroidota; Flavobacteriia; Flavobacteriales; Weeksellaceae. The record is from RNAcentral.
UCCUAGCCCCGAUUGCAGAGAAAAUCCUUUUUGCAGCCUUCCGCAGGUGUAUUCCGACAGCGGUUGAAGCAAAAAGAUUGCAACGAAAAGCGGGAAAAAGC